This 466-nucleotide ribosomal RNA is filed under the name uncultured bacterium. RNAcentral's name for it is "partial 16S ribosomal RNA". It matches the Rfam family "Bacterial small subunit ribosomal RNA", at positions 339 to 795 of the family's 1533-position model. The record is from RNAcentral.
CUACGGGGGGCACCAGUGGGGAAUAUUGGACAAUGGGGAAAACCCUGAUCCAGCAAUGCCGCGUGUGUGAAGAAGGCCUGCGGGUUGUAAAGCACUUUCGGUUGGGAGGACUGCUUCUAGCACUAAUAUUGUUGGAAGUUGACGUUACCUUCAGAAGAAGCACCGGCUAACUCCGUGCCAGCAGGCCGCGGUAAUACGGAGGGUGCAAGCGUUAAUCGGAAUUACUGGGCGUAAAGCGCGCGUAGGCGGCUAGAUCAGUCGGGUGUGAAAGCCCCGGGCUUAACCUGGGAACUGCAUCCGAUACUGUCUAGCUUGAGUACAGGAGAGGAGAGUGGAAUUCCACAUGUAGCGGUGAAAUGCGUAGAUAUGUGGAGGAACACCAAUGGCGAAGGCAGCUCUCUGGCCUGAUACUGACGCUGAGGUGCGAAAGCGUGGGGAGCAAACAGGAUUAGAUACCCUCGUAGUC